UGGUCCUACGGGAGGCAGCAGUGGGGAAUCUUCCGCAAUGGGCGAAAGCCUGACGGAGCAACGCCGCGUGAUCGAAUGAAGGCCUUCGGGCUGUAAAGAUCUGUUGACAGGGACGAAUAAGCAAUGCAAAUAGUUUUGUGUAUGACGGUACCUGUUUAGAAAGCUCCGGCUAACUACGUGCCAGCAGCCGCGGUAAUACGUAGGGAGCAAGCGUUGUCCGGAAUUACUGGGCGUAAAGGGCGCGUAGGGGGGCGCGUAAGUCAGGAGUGGAAACUCCGGGCUCAAACUGGAGACUGCACUUGAAA
Molecule: ribosomal RNA, 305 nt
Filed under: uncultured bacterium
Lineage: Bacteria
Description: bacterial SSU rRNA
Rfam family: Bacterial small subunit ribosomal RNA
Source: RNAcentral